RNAcentral lists this ribosomal RNA (468 nucleotides) under uncultured bacterium. RNAcentral describes it as "partial 16S ribosomal RNA". It matches the Rfam family "Bacterial small subunit ribosomal RNA", at positions 28 to 507 of the family's 1533-position model. The record is from RNAcentral.
GACGAACGAGGGAGGAGGGAGGAACACAGGCAAGUCGAACGGAAAGGCCCUGCUUUUGUGGGGUGCUCGAGUGGCGAACGGGUGAGUAACACGUGAGUAACCUGCCCUUGACUUUGGGAUAACUUCAGGAAACUGGGGCUAAUACCGGAUAGGAGCUCCUGCUGCAUGGUGGGGGUUGGAAAGUUUCGGCGGUUGGGGAUGGACUCGCGGCUUAUCAGCUUGUUGGUGGGGUAGUGGCUUACCAAGGCUUUGACGGGUAGCCGGCCUGAGAGGGUGACCGGCCACAUUGGGACUGAGAUACGGCCCAGACUCCUACGGGAGGCAGCAGUGGGGAAUAUUGCACAAUGGGCGGAAGCCUGAUGCAGCAACGCCGCGUGCGGGGUGACGGACUUCGGGUUGUAAACCGCUUUCGCCUGUGACGAAGCGUGAGUGACGGUAAUGGGUAAAGAAGCACCGGCUCCCUACGUC